RNAcentral lists this ribosomal RNA (200 nucleotides) under uncultured prokaryote. RNAcentral's name for it is "partial 16S ribosomal RNA". It matches the Rfam family "Bacterial small subunit ribosomal RNA", at positions 1184 to 1382 of the family's 1533-position model. The record is from RNAcentral.
GUCAAAUCAUCAUGCCCCUUAUGUCUUGGGCUUCACGCAUGCUACAAUGGCCGGUGCAACGAGCUGCAAAACCGUGAGGUUGAGCGAAUCUCUAAAAGCCGGUCUCAGUUCGGAUUGGGGUCUGCAACUCGACCCCAUGAAGUCGGAGUCGCUAGUAAUCGCAGAUCAGCAACGCUGCGGUGAAUACGUUCCCGGGCCUU